AACGAACGCUGGCGGCAUGCCUAACACAUGCAAGUCGAACGAGACCUUCGGGUCUAGUGGCGCACGGGUGCGUAACGCGUGGGAACCUGCCCUUAGGUUCGGAAUAACUCCCCGAAAGGGGUGCUAAUACCGGAUAAUGUCCUCGGACCAAAGAUUUAUCGCCUUUGGAUGGGCCCGCGUUGGAUUAGCUAGUUGGUAGGGUAAAAGCCUACCACGGCGACGAUCCAUAGCUGGUCUGAGAGGAUGAUCAGCCACACUGGGACUGAGACACGGCCCAGACUCCUACGGGAGGCAGCAGUGGGGAAUAUUGGACAAUGGGCGAAAGCCUGAUCCAGCAAUGCCGCGUGAGUGAUGAAGGCCUUAGGGUUGUAAAGCUCUUUUACCCGGGAUGAUAAUGACAGUACCGGGAGAAUAAGCUCCGGCUAACUCCGUG
RNAcentral lists this ribosomal RNA (433 nucleotides) under uncultured bacterium. Its description in RNAcentral is "partial 16S ribosomal RNA". It matches the Rfam family "Bacterial small subunit ribosomal RNA", at positions 29 to 507 of the family's 1533-position model. The record is from RNAcentral.